UAGUCCACGCCGUAAACGAUGGUUACUAGCUGUUUGUCUUUCGAGAUGAGUGGCUAAGCGAAAGUGAUAAGUAACCCACCUGGGGAGUACGAUCGCAAGAUUGAAACUCAAAGGAAUUGACGGGGGCCCGCACAAGCGGUGGAGCAUGUGGUUUAAUUCGAUGAUACGCGAGGAACCUUACCAGGGCUUAAAUGUAGUAUGACAGGGGCAGAGACGCCUUUUUCUCGGACAUAUUACAAGGUGCUGCAUGGUUGUCGUCAGCUCGUGCCGUGAGGUGUCAGGUUAAGUCCUAUAACGAGCGCAACCCCUGUUGUUAGUUACCAGCACGUAGUGGUGGGGACUCUAACAAGACUGCCGGUGCAAACCGUGAGGAAGGUGGGGAUGACGUCAAAUCAUCACGGCCCUUACGUCCUGGGGCUACACACGUGCUACAAUGGGUAGGUACAGAGAGCAGCCACUACGCAAGUAGGGAGCGAAUCUAUAAAACCUAUCUCAGUUCGGGAUCGGGAGUCU
Molecule: ribosomal RNA, 513 nt
Filed under: uncultured bacterium
Lineage: Bacteria
Description: bacterial SSU rRNA
Rfam family: Bacterial small subunit ribosomal RNA
Source: RNAcentral